RNAcentral lists this ribosomal RNA (1053 nucleotides) under Vibrio sagamiensis NBRC 104589. RNAcentral's name for it is "bacterial SSU rRNA". It matches the Rfam family "Bacterial small subunit ribosomal RNA", at positions 468 to 1520 of the family's 1533-position model. The record is from RNAcentral. Lineage: Bacteria; Pseudomonadati; Pseudomonadota; Gammaproteobacteria; Vibrionales; Vibrionaceae.
UUUGACGUUAGCGACAGAAGAAGCACCGGCUAACUCCGUGCCAGCAGCCGCGGUAAUACGGAGGGUGCGAGCGUUAAUCGGAAUUACUGGGCGUAAAGCGCAUGCAGGUGGUUUGUUAAGUCAGAUGUGAAAGCCCGGGGCUCAACCUCGGAAUUGCAUUUGAAACUGGCAGACUAGAGUACUGUAGAGGGGGGUAGAAUUUCAGGUGUAGCGGUGAAAUGCGUAGAGAUCUGAAGGAAUACCGGUGGCGAAGGCGGCCCCCUGGACAGAUACUGACACUCAGAUGCGAAAGCGUGGGGAGCAAACAGGAUUAGAUACCCUGGUAGUCCACGCCGUAAACGAUGUCUACUUGGAGGUUGUGGCCUUGAGCCGUGGCUUUCGGAGCUAACGCGUUAAGUAGACCGCCUGGGGAGUACGGUCGCAAGAUUAAAACUCAAAUGAAUUGACGGGGGCCCGCACAAGCGGUGGAGCAUGUGGUUUAAUUCGAUGCAACGCGAAGAACCUUACCUACUCUUGACAUCCAGAGAACUUUCCAGAGAUGGAUUGGUGCCUUCGGGAACUCUGAGACAGGUGCUGCAUGGCUGUCGUCAGCUCGUGUUGUGAAAUGUUGGGUUAAGUCCCGCAACGAGCGCAACCCUUAUCCUUGUUUGCCAGCGAGUAAUGUCGGGAACUCCAGGGAGACUGCCGGUGAUAAACCGGAGGAAGGUGGGGACGACGUCAAGUCAUCAUGGCCCUUACGAGUAGGGCUACACACGUGCUACAAUGGCGCAUACAGAGGGCAGCCAACUUGCGAAAGUGAGCGAAUCCCAAAAAGUGCGUCGUAGUCCGGAUUGGAGUCUGCAACUCGACUCCAUGAAGUCGGAAUCGCUAGUAAUCGUGGAUCAGAAUGCCACGGUGAAUACGUUCCCGGGCCUUGUACACACCGCCCGUCACACCAUGGGAGUGGGCUGCAAAAGAAGUAGGUAGUUUAACCUUCGGGAGGACGCUUACCACUUUGUGGUUCAUGACUGGGGUGAAGUCGUAACAAGGUAGCGCUAGGGGAACCUGGCGCUG